UUGGAGGGCAAGUCUGGUGCCAGCAGCCGCGGUAAUUCCAGCUCCAAUAGCGUAUAUUAAAGUUGUUGCAGUUAAAGAGCUCGUAGUUGAAUUUCGGGGUUAGUAGGUUGGUCAUGCCUCUGGUAUGUACUGGUCUCACUGAUUCCUCCUUCCUGAUGAGCCGUAAUGCCAUUAAUUUGGUGUUGCGGGGAAUUUGGACUGUUACUUUGAAAAAAUUAGAGUGUUUAAAGCAAGCUAACGCUUGAAUACAUUAGCAUGGAAUAAUGAAAUAGGACGUUCGAUCCUAUUUUGUUGGUUUCUAGGAUUGACGUAAUGAUUAAUAGGGAUAGUUGGGGGCAUUAGUAUUCAAUUGUCAGAGGUGAAAUUCUUGGAUUUAUUGAAGACUAACUACUGCGAAAGCAUUUGCCAAGGAUGUUUUCAUUAAUCAAGAACGAAAGUUAGGGGAUCGAAGACGAUCAGAUACCGUCGUAGUCUUAACCAUAAACUAUGCCGACUAGGGAUCGGAUGAUGUUAAUUUUUUAAUGACUCAUUCGGCGCCUUACGGGAAAC
RNAcentral lists this ribosomal RNA (549 nucleotides) under uncultured Glomeromycotina. RNAcentral describes it as "SSU rRNA". It matches the Rfam family "Eukaryotic small subunit ribosomal RNA", at positions 548 to 1098 of the family's 1831-position model. Lineage: Eukaryota; Fungi; Glomeromycota. The record is from RNAcentral.